Molecule: long non-coding RNA, 238 nt
Filed under: Bos taurus (domestic cattle)
Lineage: Eukaryota; Metazoa; Chordata; Mammalia; Artiodactyla; Bovidae
Description: long non-coding RNA NONBTAT019066
Source: RNAcentral
CAAAGACUGAAUUGCAUAUUGCCAAAUACAACAUUUUGGUUGUCCUGAGUGGCAAUUCUGUAAACUGGAGUUGAAUUUUAUGUACAGUGUAAUGGGCAAAUUCUCAGUUUACCUAUAAGUGUAAGGGAAAUACUGUUGUAAUUUACUAUAAAAUCUGCUUAUCCCCUUCAUUCUUGAAAACUCAUGACAAUUUGACAAGCUGUUCUACAAACCAAAUUAAUGUGAGGUAUAUAUUCAA